RNAcentral lists this non-coding RNA (59 nucleotides) under Spodoptera frugiperda (fall armyworm). The record is from RNAcentral. Lineage: Eukaryota; Metazoa; Arthropoda; Insecta; Lepidoptera; Noctuidae.
UGUUGGGCGUUCUGAUUGGUUGGUAUUUCGAGCCAGCCAGUCAGAGCGCCGAACGCGCU